Molecule: long non-coding RNA, 1326 nt
Organism: Caretta caretta (loggerhead turtle)
Lineage: Eukaryota; Metazoa; Chordata; Testudines; Cheloniidae
Source: RefSeq, a predicted model, not a curated record
GCCCCUCCGCUCGCGGCCGCUCAGGCUGGGUCGGCGCGGGAGAGCCGGUGGCGGGCACUGGGCCCUCGCGGGGCGCUGUCGCGUGACCUGCGCCGCAGCAGGGACGGGAGCCUGCGGCGGGCUGCGUGCGCGUGCGGCAGGUUGAAGCCCGCUGCUCUUUCCCCCGGGGCCUGCCCUGCUCUGCGCGAUCGAGGGGUGUGCCUCAAAAAAAGGGGUGGGGGGCCGUCCCCUGCCCGGCACUGGACCCCUCCUACUAGCAGUCACGAAGAGCGAGCGUGGCUCAGAACGUUCCCAGGGAGAGGGGGGGUUUUGCAGGAGCCUCUGGGGGCUUUGUGCAAUUUCCUGUUGAAUUAUAAAUAAACGUGUGGCUUUUAAACAAUGUUCAGUGGGAAUGGAGCUCCUAGGUUAUGUAUGCUGAGGCUCAGGGACAAAAGCUAUGGGAAAAGCACUGCACAGCUGGGGCAGAGGCCGCCUUUCGGAAUUGCUCCCUGGCUUGGCUGUCUCCCGCUUCGUGCUUUGGAGCAACACGUUAUCCUGGAUACGUACAGAUAAAUAGGGGUUCUUCCUUCAUCCAUUGCCUUAGUGCCUGUCAGCAUCUCUGCUAAAACCUAGAGAACAUUUUUAUAGAAUACAGUCGGAGACCGGAAUGUCCAAGUUUUGGUGUGAAGUUUUCAUCCAGCAAAACAUUGGAGCUGCAUAAAGUAAGACAAAUACCAAUAGUGAUCAAUCCAUUCACACCGGAAUGUAGAGUCUUAUGGACUCCAGGAUGAGAGUCCUAUAUGGAUAUCCCCUGAAGUUAGAAAAUUCACAUCCAGGAUUCCUCUCAGCCCUGUCUGUGAUAUGUUGACAUCCCUACUGAGUUCAUUUUCUACUCCACAAUUUCUCUUCCAUGACAACAAAAUAAACACAGGUUGUGUGAAAUUGUGACUGCUCUUCUACAUGAUCAGUCCCUAGGUUUUUCACAAUUCAGUUUUGGUAGUUUUGCUGUUGUGAGAAAUUUUGCACAAUGGGGGAAUUUGCAUUGAACAAAGUUGAAAAUGUGAAUUUUGUUGUACGUACAGACUCUGCUUACAAAAAAGGCUUAGUUUGGAUUGAAAUGUCGCUCAUUUUUGGGAGAAGUUUCACUCCUUUGCCUCAAAAAUGGGUCCUCCUUCACUGAAAAAUGUCCUAUUUCCAAGUGAAACAUUCUUAAACUUCUUGUGACUUUUUUGUGAAAGGGCAAUUUUAGAGUUCACAAGAAAAUGUAAAUAAGCUCAAUUGUGGAGUGAUUUCAGUUACAUUGCUAGAGUUUCACACAGCUAUAAAAUAAACAUUUUAACCAUCUAC